AGUGAGUGUGUGUCUUGCAUGCUUAGUAUUUUGAGUGCGUUCUCUUAUAUGCACUGUAAGUGCGCAAAUUGAGACAUGCCAAGUAAAAUGUUGCUAAUGACUGCGCCCAGUGUAUAAUAAUACAUGCUAAGGUGGGAAACGUAGGUGCAAGUCAAUAGCAGAUAGACUGCAGCUGGCGGAGAUUUUAACUACGCUAGGCUAACCAACUAGCAGUGGUAUGUUGAUGAGGCAUCGACGAGUCCCGCCUAGCUUGUAAAGAGUUUUACGUCGCACCAGACACCAGCAAUGUGGUAACGGUGCAUCCAGUUUCUGUCUUGGUGUUUAAAUCCCAGAAAUGUUGGGGUUUUGCACUUUGUUCAGCGGUCGUUGAAUGCACCGUAGUUGUGUGCUGAGAUGCAAAAGUUUUUGGGCGAGGGAAGCACUAACUCUACAGUCAAGGAUCAUCUUACGUUAUUAUUCAACACUGUUACCACAUUUACCUGCUGCCUUCGGCACAAGGAUACUUCCGCGUGGUGAUGGGAGGACUGGGGAUCGAACCAGCAACUUCCAGGUUGGCGCGACCACUCUACCACCUGAGCCAUGCCGCCCCGAGUCGAGAGCUGCUCAAGUCUAGAGCAAGUACAAGUGAUGCGAGCUGAUACGUCCGCGCCUGACCUCCUGUCUCCUGGGGAGUCACUGUGUUCCUGAGAGUUCAGUGUUGGAUUGUUUGUGGAUCUCUCGGCUCCAGCAGCGGAAGGGGGUCCAAUUGUACCAAAAGACGGCAAGUAGCUGAUCACACUUACUUCACCAUAAGAGACACAGCUGUGCAAAUGCACUGCACAACCCAAAGUAAGCAAAUGCUUAUGAAACCGCCAAUCAAUAUCAAGAGAAUACACCCAAGUGGUAAUCAAAUUAACGCUAUCUUCUUCCAUGCUGUCCUCAGCCACGACCUCUGAACCUAUGUGGAAAUAUGGGUGGUCCUUGGUUUACCAGGAAACGCUCCUAGGAAUUCAUUCAAAACGCAAUUUUGGUUCGUAAACACGAGACUCGCCCGAGAAGUACUGUCGUUACGGCGUAAGAGCUCCAUCGGUAGAAUACACGCGUGUGGCUUGCCCACACAGCCGCGCUGAGGAAGAAUAACAUCGCUUACUAGUUCACGUUUUACACUUGGUUAUGUAUCCCAAACGGCGGUGCGGCAAAGAAAAGGAAAGCCAUCACCACUGAAGAAAUGAACGUCAUAAAAAGCUCCGAGAGAGGACAGACGCUCUUUUAGAUCAAGAUGAUUGACUGCUAUUGAGCUGGUGCACUGUUACAAGGAGAUGUGGGAUGGGAAGACGAGCCUGGGACAACAUUUUAAGAUGGCACAAAGUCAUGCAAGACAACCACAGCGAUAAAAGUAUUAUUACUCUUGUAUGUCCUUCUUCCACUUCACUGUACUUGUACUUUUCAUGUGUUCUGUGUACCGUGUGAGUGACCUAGGAGUUCAUUCAGGGUCACACUCAAACCAGACUUCCAUCACAGCCAAAGAGACGAACCCGAGGACCACCUGUAUCACAACAUAACACCCGUGAAGACCCAGUAGAAAUGUUGGACCAGAUGCCAACACACACAACGCUCCGAGGAAUGACGGACUUUGAAAGAGAGGCGAUGCAGUCACACAUCUGUUUGGAACGUUAGUCCUGGAAAGCAGAUGGGCUUGGAAAUUGGUGGCUAUACAAAUUGGGUGGAAUUUAUGAACUGAUGGUCAGCAUGUGAAGGAGAGAAACGUGUUGCUUUGAAAGGUGUAGAACAAACCCUUGAUUAUGGGAUGCCGUGACCUGCUUCUAUCCAUACCUGUCAACACUCCUUUGGCCUUCUUUCCCCUCGCCUUCUCCUUGAAACAUGUUUCCAUAAAUUUGCCGUAUUUUAACUUUGAUCCAAAAAGAAUAAAAGAAAGAGCCCGCUGUAGAAUUUCCCUUAUUUUCUGGAAAAGUUCCCCGACAGCCUUACAGUACCUCGGAUUUCGUUUGUGUUCCAAAAGGUCAGACAUAUUUUUAAUAACGUAAAUGCAAUGAUCCGUUCCAGGCACUGAACCACCGAGGGCCGCACACUGAAAAAUCAAAAGCUGUUUUUUUUUAAAACCAACCCAAACAAAAUAUUCCAUACAAUGUAUAUAUAUAUAUAUACUGCAUAUACAUAUAUUUACACAUAUAAAAUAUAUGUAUUCAUUUUAUCAGUGAUAAUAAUAUUAUUAUUCUUUUGAACUGUUUCUCCUUGCAUUACUUGUUGACUGUUUUUUUUUUAUUUUACAAAUAUAUCAACGUUCUACAGUCUACGUUUUGUUCUAAUACUAAUAUGACUUAUCCAUCCAUUUUCUAUACCGCUUCUCCUCAUUAGGGUCGUGUGGGCAUGCUGGAGCCUAUCCCAGCUGACUUCGGGCAACAGGCGGGGUACAACCUGGACUGCUGUCCAGCCAAUCGCAAAGCGGCAUAGAAAAUGGAUGGAUGGAUGGAUAAUAUGAUUAUUAUUCUCAUAAUAUUUUGACUUUAUUAUCAUAACAUUAUCGCAUUCACCCAACCUCAUUUUCCUAAAAUUUCAACUUCAUUCUUUGUUUGGUUUGUUUCUUACAUUACAACUUUUUUCCUGUAAUAUUUCAACUUUAUGCGUUUUUUUUCUGUUAAUAUAAUGACUUUACUACCUUAAUGUUUUGUCUUUAUUCUUGUCAAAUUACUGCUUUUUUCCAUUUUUGCUGUUGCUUUUUUUAAAUGUUAUUGAUUAAUCGUAUUUUUAGAAUGUGCCAAAGGCCAGUAAAAUAGCAGUCGCCCCCGGGCCACACUUUGGACACCCCUGCGCUAAAACUAUGAAGAAAAAUCAAUUUUAUGUAGAAACCAGAUGAACCAAUUUCAGUAGAAAGUGCGUGUGAAUGCUGAAAUGAAAUGUGUUUCAAUGCGUUCAGCGACUGAGGAUGGAACCAGCAACCACCAGGGUGGGAGACGAUCACUCUCUGACCUGAGACAUGCCGCCAUGCACAGAAUAAGCACAAUGUUAGGAUUCAUUUGAAAUGUAAGAAUCAUUGAGCCUGCAUGUCCUCAAUGAACUGAACAUUUCCAUGUUGCUUUGGUCUGAAGUGGUUCACAAGUGAGGGGUGGUUAGCAGGGGGAAAAUGGAAACGUUUGAAUGUAAAAAUGCAGACAAAAUGUUAAAAUGCAUAAAUAAGUCGAAUUAUUACGGUGGGAUCGGGGACUGAACGAGGGUUGGGAAACAACCACUUCUUAACCGAUUCAAAGCAAACCGAUGUCAAAAUGUUUCAUUCAUUCCGGGCACGUUGGCUAUCUAGCAGGUCUUUAAAAUUCUUACAUUUGCUGUAAUUUUAUCAUUUCUUUGACAAUUUUGUCAUUGAAAAUGAAUGGCCAAGUUAUUUGGCAACCCCUUCUGGUGGAAAAAAACAUGUAGCAUUUUCCGUUACUGUGACGUUCUACUUAUACUGAGGGGGGGGGCGUGGCUCAGAAGGCAGAGUGGCCGUUUCCAAACCUGAUUGGUUGCUGGUUCCAUCCUCAGUCGGUGAAUCGGUUUCAGCGCAUUUCUAGGAUAUUUCAACAUUUGGCUCCGGCAUUCACACGCGAUGGUUGCUGGUUCAAUCGGCAGUCUGGAAUCAUUCAACUUACUGAUAUAGUUCAACAUUCAGUCUGCAUUUUGGCUGUCCAACAUUUCAAAUCCUGCCGCUUUUUUUGUCCGCUGAACAGGACAAACAGGACAAAAUUCCCACACUUCCCGUAAUUCGAUAUUUUCGGUGACAUGUUUUUCCAUUGAAAAUUAACGGACAAAUUAAUUUUCCGUUGAACAUUAGAUGAAAGAUUGCACUUGGCAUGGCUCAGGGCGUAGAGUGGUCGUCCCCCAGCCUGAUGGUUGCUGGUUCCAUCCUGAACACGCAAUUUCUGCUGAAUUUGCUUCAUCAAGAAUUCCUUUUCUACCGGUAAAACUAGAAUUGUUCUACUUUAAGAGUGUCGUGUUAAUAUUUUGGGGUGUCUGGAACAGAUUCAUUGGGUUUACAUUGCUUCUGAUGGAAACAAACUGGUUUUAGAGGGACUUUGUGGAACACAUCAAUCAGGAAAACUGUAUUGUUGACAGGUAUGCUUCUAUCACAGAAUUGUAUUGUUUUCUUCUUCUACUUGCAACCAGCGUGUUAGCUAGCAGGAGCGAGAAAGUGUCAGACGCAUGUGUUCAAUAAUGCAUCAAGGAGACUCCAGUUGCUUGUUCUUCCUCCCAUGCUUUUUGUGUUGUUGUUGACUGUCUCUCUCUGCUGCCGUGAUUUACACAAACCAUUCCUGAGCUGCUGCCCAGAAGAACUGAUUUACAGUGUAUCAGGCACAGCUUUGUUAUGACAGGCUCCAAGGGUAAGGAAAAGCAUGGAGCCUCGCAGAACAAAGUAGUCAGAUUACAGGACAUCAAAAAGUGAACUUUUGAACUCGGCAAACGACGCCUUGCCCUUUAGGAUAGAGGUCAACCCUCCUUGUGUAUAAUAUCCCACUCAAGUUCAAUUUGCCAUUUCUGCAGAGAGAUCUGGGAAGUGCUUUUUUUAUUUUCAUACUCCAACAGCUUUCCUCUCCUUUCUGAUUCCAUUUAGUCACGCUAUGUGCCGGCUAACCUAUGCUGGCCGUGCACUGAGAGCAGAAGGCUCUCAUUUCAGCUCUGGCAGAAAGAGUGCCGAUGAGCUCAUCCUCCUGCAGGAGCUGGAUGCGGUGGGCGAUGCACUCCAAGGCUUGUUAGGGCUUCGAGGU
This is a long non-coding RNA of Dunckerocampus dactyliophorus (ringed pipefish), 4736 nucleotides long. RefSeq lists it as uncharacterized. The transcript is spliced from 4 exons. The record is from RefSeq and is a predicted model, not a curated record. Lineage: Eukaryota; Metazoa; Chordata; Actinopteri; Syngnathiformes; Syngnathidae.